RNAcentral lists this ribosomal RNA (253 nucleotides) under uncultured bacterium. RNAcentral describes it as "partial 16S ribosomal RNA". It matches the Rfam family "Bacterial small subunit ribosomal RNA", at positions 524 to 776 of the family's 1533-position model. The record is from RNAcentral.
UACAGAGGGUGCAAGCGUUAAUCGGAAUUACUGGGCGUAAAGCGUGCGUAGACGGUUAUGUAAGUCGGGUGUGAAAGCCCCGGGCUCAACCUGGGAAUGCCAUUCGAGACUGCAUAGCUAGGGUGCGGAAGAGGGAAGCGGAAUUUACGGUGUAGCGGUGAAAUGCGUAGAUAUCGUAAGGAAGACCAGUGGCGAAGGCGGGUCUCUGGACAGUUCCUGACGCUGAGGCACGAAGGCCAGGGGAGCAAACGGG